This 314-nucleotide ribosomal RNA is filed under the name uncultured bacterium. Its description in RNAcentral is "bacterial SSU rRNA". It matches the Rfam family "Bacterial small subunit ribosomal RNA", at positions 29 to 369 of the family's 1533-position model. The record is from RNAcentral.
AGCGAACGCUGGCGGCACGGCCUAACACAUGCAAGUCGAACGAACCCUUCGGGGUUAGUGGCGGACGGGUGAGUAACACGUGGGAACGUACCUUUAGGUUCGGAACAACACAGGGAAACUUGUGCUAAUGCCGAAUGUGCCCUUCGGGGGAAAGAUUUAUCGCCUUUAGAGCGGCCCGCGUCUGAUUAGCUUGUUGGUGAGGUAAAGGCUCACCAAGGCUUCGAUCAGUAGCUGGUCUGAGAGGAUGAUCAGCCACACUGGGACUGAGACACGGCCCAGACUCCUACGGGAGGCAGCAGUGGGGAAUCUUGCGC